This 497-nucleotide ribosomal RNA is filed under the name uncultured bacterium. RNAcentral's name for it is "partial 16S ribosomal RNA". It matches the Rfam family "Bacterial small subunit ribosomal RNA", at positions 28 to 507 of the family's 1533-position model. The record is from RNAcentral.
GAUGAACGCUGGCGGCGUGCCUAAUACAUGCAAGUCGAGCGAACGGACGAGAAGCUUGCUUCUCUGAUGUUAGCGGCGGACGGGUGAGUAACACGUGGAUAACCUACCUAUAAGACUGGGAUAACUUCGGGAAACCGGAGCUAAUACCGGAUAUUAUUUUGAACCGCAUGGUUCAAAAGUGAAAGACGGUCUUGCUGUCACUUAUAGAUGGAUCCGCGCUGCAUUAGCUAGUUGGUAAGGUAACGGCUUACCAAGGCAACGAUGCAUAGCCGACCUGAGAGGGUGAUCGGCCACACUGGAACUGAGACACGGUCCAGACUCCUACGGGAGGCAGCAGUAGGGAAUCUUCCGCAAUGGGCGAAAGCCUGACGGAGCAACGCCGCGUGAGUGAUGAAGGUCUUCGGAUCGUAAAACUCUGUUAUUAGGGAAGAACAUAUGUGUAAGUAACUGUGCACAUCUUGACGGUACCUAAUCAGAAAGCCACGGCUAACUACAUG